RNAcentral lists this small nuclear RNA (162 nucleotides) under Mus spretus (western wild mouse). RNAcentral describes it as "predicted gene, 25796 (ENSMSPG00010007266.1)". It matches the Rfam family "U1 spliceosomal RNA". Rfam says of the family: U1 is a small nuclear RNA (snRNA) component of the spliceosome (involved in pre-mRNA splicing). Its 5' end forms complementary base pairs with the 5' splice junction, thus defining the 5' donor site of an intron. The record is from RNAcentral. Lineage: Eukaryota; Metazoa; Chordata; Mammalia; Rodentia; Muridae.
ACAGUUAUCUGUCAGGGAAGAUACUACAAUCACCACGAAGGUGAUAUCCCAAGGCAAAGCUUAUCCAUUCCACUCUGGAUGUGCUCACCCAGUGAUUCCCCACAUGCAGGAAACAUGGCUGUAUAAUUUGAGGUAGCUGAGUACCGUGUUCACACUCUCCCA